Long non-coding RNA from Patella vulgata (common limpet), 679 nucleotides. RefSeq lists it as uncharacterized. The record is from RefSeq and is a predicted model, not a curated record. The transcript is spliced from 4 exons. NCBI's taxonomy places the organism in Eukaryota, Metazoa, Mollusca, Gastropoda, Patellidae.
GGGGGUGGUAAUUUUUUCCAUCUGUAUCUUUUUAUUUAGAUACAACUUGUCAUAUCUUACAAAUAUUUCAUUCUUUUCAAAUAAUAUUCUUUCAUAUACCCAAUUCAACUAUAUGUUUACUUAUUUAUUUUUUUAUGAUAGAAUUGCCGAUUCAAGAAAGUGAGAGCGAAGAUGUCAGCAUUGCGGGACAUGCGGAAGUUUCCGCCAAUGAUGGUAGUGAAGUGUCAAUUCAACAACAGAAUUUAAGGCAACAGGCCUCAGAUUUCCUAUGGAUGUUUAUUGAUGUUUGUUAUAUACAGUUAUAUAGUAUAAUAUGUUAUAUAAGAUUUCGCCAACAUUUGACCAUGGCAACAAUUUCUUCGUCCAUUUUGGAACAACACCCAUUUGUUAUAUUUAUGAAAUUUGUGUAUUAUUUACUAAUUAUGUGUAAAACAUAAGACAUAUUUGAAUAGUUAUACAUAGUAUAAGACAACAAUAUGUCCUCUAUUCUAAACGCUCGGGUGCGGGGAGUGUUGUUGUUGACUUGUUAUACCUAUUACUUGUCGACUUGUUAUAUAUAUAUUACUUGUCGACUUUUUAUAUCUAUUACUUGACGACUUGUUAAAUCUAUUACUUGUUGUCUUGUUAUAUAUAUAUAUUACUUCUUGUCUUGUUAUAUAUAUUACUUCUUCAUACACUG